This 274-nucleotide ribosomal RNA is filed under the name uncultured prokaryote. Its description in RNAcentral is "partial 16S ribosomal RNA". It matches the Rfam family "Bacterial small subunit ribosomal RNA", at positions 524 to 798 of the family's 1533-position model. The record is from RNAcentral.
UACGGAGGAUGCAAGCGUUAUCCGGAAUUACUGGGCGUAAAGGGUGCGUAGGUGGUUUCUUAAGUCAGAGGUGAAAGGCUACGGCUCAACCGUAGUAAGCCUUUGAAACUGGGAAACUUGAGUGCAGGAGAGGAGAGUGGAAUUCCUAGUGUAGCGGUGAAAUGCGUAGAUAUUAGGAGGAACACCAGUUGCGAAGGCGGCUCUCUGGACUGUAACUGACACUGAGGCACGAAAGCGUGGGGAGCAAACAGGAUUAGAUACCCGCGUAGUCCCU